UAAAGUGAAAUUAAACUUGAGUAUUAUUAGUUAUGAUCUUUAAACUUAAAGAAUUUGGCGGUAUUAUAGUCUAUUUAGAGGAAUCUGUUAUGUAAUCGAUAGUCCACGUUGAACCUUACUUAUAUUAAUUCUUGUAUACCGCUGUUUAGAUUACAUUUUUAGAUGUUAUUUCUUAAUAUAUGAAUUUUUAAAAUUUCAAGUCAAGGUGCAGUAAUAUUUGAGUUGAAUAAUGGAUUACAAUAAAUUUUAUUUAUUAUGGAUUAAUUAUUGAAAAAUAAUUUGAAGGUGGAUUUAAUAGUAAUUWUWNNUUACCRRKMWCRUGAAGVABUWYCUCCC
This 336-nucleotide ribosomal RNA is filed under the name Creobroter labuanae. Its description in RNAcentral is "partial 12S ribosomal RNA". The record is from RNAcentral. Lineage: Eukaryota; Metazoa; Arthropoda; Insecta; Mantodea; Hymenopodidae.